CCUACGGGGGGCAGCAGUGGGGAAUAUUGGACAAUGGGGGCAACCCUGAUCCAGCCAUGCCGCGUGUGUGAAGAAGGCCCUCGGGUUGUAAAGCACUUUCAGUGAGGAAGAACGCCUGGUGGUUAAUACCCAUCAGGAAAGACAUCACUCACAGAAGAAGCACCGGCUAACUCCGUUGCCAGCAGCCGCGGUAAUACGGAGGGUGCGAGCGUUAAUCGGAAUUACUGGGCGUAAAGCGCGCGUAGGUGGCUUGAUAAGCCGGUUGUGAAAGCCCCGGGCUCAACCUGGGAACGGCAUCCGGAACUGUCAAGCUAGAGUGCAGGAGAGGAAGGUAGAAUUCCCGGUGUAGCGGUGAAAUGCGUAGAGAUCGGGAGGAAUACCAGUGGCGAAGGCGGCCUUCUGGACUGACACUGACACUGAGGUGCGAAAGCGUGGGUAGCAAACAGGAUUAGAUACCCUAGUAGUC
RNAcentral lists this ribosomal RNA (466 nucleotides) under Vreelandella stevensii. RNAcentral's name for it is "partial 16S ribosomal RNA". It matches the Rfam family "Bacterial small subunit ribosomal RNA", at positions 338 to 795 of the family's 1533-position model. The record is from RNAcentral. Lineage: Bacteria; Pseudomonadati; Pseudomonadota; Gammaproteobacteria; Oceanospirillales; Halomonadaceae.